ACAUAGAGAUAGACUUGGUAUUACUUUCCUCCUUGUUUCAGACUGCUCAAAUAACAAUAGCAGCAGAGUGGAAGUGCCCGUUGUGCCAAAAACAAUAAAGUGGAUACACAGAGACUGAUUAUUCUUGGCAACAAAUAGGCUGUAAUAUGAAGUAUUUUUAGAUUUGGAUUCCUUUCAUUGGAUGUGCAAAGGAUAAAACUCCUUGGAGCAAGUUCCCAGUCUUCUCAUCCCCUUUCUGGAAAAGUGCAAUUCUUGGAAGUAAGAUUUCGGUCAGAUAACAAAUUCAUUUUAUCUGAGGAAAAUAACUUGGUGAAGCUGUGUGCAAAUCCUGCUUUUUUGGUGAGCUGGAACUGAAUGAAAAAGAAAGCCCAGCUAAGCUGUGCUGGGGAGGUGAUCCAGGUUGGAGAGCUCCUUCCUGCCUGGCUCAGAGGGCUGGAUAAUUUCAGUUUUCCAGUUGACAAGUAAGAAUUUCCAACCACAAGCCCCAGUGAUUCACCUCUCAACUUUGUGUCAUGCUUGCUGCUUGAUCUUUCCAAGAAAAUGUGGGCUUUUUCAUUUGAGGAAAGGGCUGCAUGUCCCGGCUGAACUGACAGAGCCCUCCAAUCAUCAGCCAGGACUAAAGGAAUCGUUUCUUUGUUCUCUGAGCCAUGUUUCUGGCACUUCUCUAUUGACCCUUCCUUUCCCGUUGCAUAAACCUUAUCUUCGCUCACAAGUCCUUCCUCAAGACCAGUGCUUCUUAUCAUCUCCUGUCCACCACCCACCAUCCUGUUGUCACAUUUUCCAGCAAACACUUUGAGUGUCAGCCCAUGGUCAGCACUACUGUGGGGAGCUCCCCAAAGUCACCUCCGUGAGUCUCUUGGUAAGCCAUCCUUGGACAACAGCCACACCAGGCUGAGCCCACUGCCUCAGGUGUGCAGGAUGGUUUGUCCUUGUACUCCUCUAUUAGUCAAUGCUUGCCUGUUCUGGUGCUAUAUUUAAAUGGUGAACUACUUGGAGCACACCCUGUCCUUUCAUUUUGUGAUUGCACAGUGUCUCAUAUAAUGGGGUAUGGCUUCGUGACUUGUGCUGCUAGGAAUGGACGCAGAGCAAAUAAAUAAUAUUAAUGCUAAUAAGAGUCUUUCCUUACUUCCUGCUUUUGUCUUCCUUCUCUUUGUUUCUUUCAUCUUCACUGUUAUAUUAGUAUUUAUAUUACUUAAAUAAAAGAACUACUCAAACACAGCUUUUUUUUUAACUUCCCAAGAGAACAUUCACUUCUUUGUCCAAAGUUACAAAACCUGAAUAUUGAAUCAACCAACAUGGAAGCUGGUUUUAAUCAAAUAUUUUACCUUGGUAGACGCUGCUGCUGUUUAGGAAAAUAAUCCAUUUCUGUCUCAGCAGAAGCCUGUAUUCUCUUUUGAAUCCAAUCCUUGAUUCAUUUGAUUUUCUGCUUAGUUUGAUCAGUACCUCAAAAAACAGCUCUUUUGUAUUAAAUAAUAAAGUAGCUUACACCUUUCUGUUUGAUCACUUUAAGAACCGCUGCUGAAUAAUUUACUGGAAAACAUCCUCACUUUUCCACAGACACAUAACUAGACGUGGCAUGCAAAAUAUAGGAUAUUUACAGCUACGGCUGGCUAAUUUUUGUAUUUUUUCCUGCAAACAGUAGAUUUAUUUUUGUGUUUUAGUCAUCCCCUAGCUAUUUCUAUAUCUGAGAAAAAAAUGUGCUAAGUAGUUUCAGAUAGACACUUGGAUUCUGAAGUGUGUGAGAGAGAAAAUAUCUGUAUUUUACGUGACAGUCUGGUCAGUGAUAUCAACGUAGCAGAAGACUCAUAUGUAAUUACUCUUUUUGGCAUGCUGAACCUGAUCCCAGCUUCCCUGGAAAAUGCUCUGAGCAGCAGCUGACCACAAUGUUCUUCUGAAGUCUUCCUCAGGAUGGGAUAUUGUAAAAUCCUUUACUAAUUUUACUGUUGUUUAUUAUAGCAAGAUAUACAAUUAUAAUAAAGCUCAACUUUU
This is a long non-coding RNA of Gallus gallus (chicken), 1989 nucleotides long. NCBI's taxonomy places the organism in Eukaryota, Metazoa, Chordata, Aves, Galliformes, Phasianidae. The record is from Ensembl.